This 460-nucleotide ribosomal RNA is filed under the name uncultured Salinimicrobium sp. Its description in RNAcentral is "bacterial SSU rRNA". It matches the Rfam family "Bacterial small subunit ribosomal RNA", at positions 338 to 795 of the family's 1533-position model. Lineage: Bacteria; Pseudomonadati; Bacteroidota; Flavobacteriia; Flavobacteriales; Flavobacteriaceae. The record is from RNAcentral.
CCUACGGGAGGCUGCAGUGAGGAAUAUUGGACAAUGGGCGAGAGCCUGAUCCAGCCAUGCCGCGUGCAGGAAGACUGCCCUAUGGGUUGUAAACUGCUUUUAUACGGGAAGAAACACCCCUUCGUGAAGGGAUUUGACGGUACCGUAUGAAUAAGGAUCGGCUAACUCCGUGCCAGCAGCCGCGGUAAUACGGAGGAUCCAAGCGUUAUCCGGAAUCAUUGGGUUUAAAGGGUCCGUAGGCGGGUUUGUAAGUCAGUGGUGAAAGUCUGCAGCUUAACUGUAGAACUGCCAUUGAUACUGCAUACCUUGAGUAAUUAGGAAGUGGUUAGAAUAUGUAGUGUAGCGGUGAAAUGCAUAGAUAUUACAUAGAAUACCGAUUGCGAAGGCAGAUCACUAAUAAUUUACUGACGCUGAUGGACGAAAGCGUAGGUAGCGAACAGGAUUAGAUACCCUAGUAGUC